Molecule: long non-coding RNA, 4926 nt
Filed under: Xyrichtys novacula (pearly razorfish)
Lineage: Eukaryota; Metazoa; Chordata; Actinopteri; Labriformes; Labridae
Source: RNAcentral
GUCACACCUGCCACCUGAUUGUGUCUCUCCACCUGUUCCUCAUCUAUUGUAUUUUACCUUGUGUGUCUCACAGUCUUGUCGCCAGUUUGUUUCCAGCAUUCUCUUUCCAGCAUUUAUUCAUAGUUUCGCCAAGCAGUGCAUUACCUUUGCCUGCCUUUUUAGAUCUUGCCUUUUGCCUGACAUUUUUGAUACCUCUGCCUGAUCUGACUGCCUUUUUGUGUACCAACCUUUGCCUGAACCUCGUUAAACCCUGUCUGUUUGAUUAACUGUAUUGGUGUCUUGCCAUUGUAUCCUCCAGUCUGUGCUGUGGUUCGUGACAUACAGGACAUAUAAUGAGAAAAGUAAGUGCAAAAUUGCAUUUCUGAGUAUUUCUGCAUUCAAAUUGCUGUAUACCUCUGGCACAUCCAAACAAUAGGCUCAGACUACAUUUGCAUGUGCCCGGCUAUUUUCAUUAACUGAUAUUUCACCCUCUCCGUUUACAGAAAAAAAAAAAAACUGUGUGCACACCACUAUGUUUUCAGAAAAGUUUUUGUUUAAAUGAACUUGUGUAAACAUAUGCCAUCAAAAGCAUGCCAAACCUGUAGGUGGCAGUGUAGCGAGUAGCUCAAGCCCACGAUAGCCAAUCAAAUUCCUGCAUUGCAGCAACAACAUCUCUCCUCUUCCACAUAGUACAGCACUUGUAUUUGCAAAUGCAAAAAAAUACAAAAGGAUGGCACCAGCAUAAAUGUGACUGCUAUUCUGCAUGCAUCCAUGAUCACCAAAGAUUGUAAACACAGACUGUAGAUUGUAAACAGCAUCACAUUUAACUCAGUUUCAGCGCACAAUCUGCCAUCGGCUAACCAAGGGCCUAUUUUACGAAGCAAGUUCGACCUAGCGAGGUAGCCUUGGAGCUACCUCGUUCAACUUAGCGCGGUAGCCAGCGGUCUCGCUAAACAGUCUUACAACACUGGUUAUCAACCUACUAAGUGGAUCCAGCUUUGCUAUGAGCGCGUGCACGCAUUUAAGGCGAAGCCCGCUGCAUCUGACCAACCGCGAACAUGGACCAGUCUGGAGCGUCAGAGCAGGCCAGAGAGCGAAGGACCGCAUACUUUACAAAUGGGGAGCAGGAGAAAGUAUGAAGAAUUCAAAUCUAUUAUAAACCUCAAAAGCAACACUGUCGCCGCUGCAAAAGCACGGAAGGAAUUCUGGCAGAAAAAAAAGUGUAGUGCGCAAAAAAUCUUUGAUGCCAUUGUCACCCUGAAAUAGCACUGUUCAACAUGCGCUUUUAACAUGCACCAGACGUGUCUAAUUCAUUUCCAAGAUGAAUUCAUUAAUUUGUUUAUUUCUAUCAUGUUUGCAUUUUUUUGUGUGGUAUGUAGGCCAUAUGAGCCUUUUAUAAAGGUGGUCAUCCGGAAAAGUAAGUGGGUCUGUGCAGUCGCUGAAAACCUUCACGCGCCAGAGUGCUCCUCAGACAAUGCAAGCACCGAGGUCUAUAGGAUCCUCCAAGAACGGACAAGCUAUUUUUUGAGAGAGCUCAUUGGUCAGUGGGUGGGGUUUUUUUACUCGUGAGUUCAAUCUGGAACCUAACCUGCCCCGGAGCAGGUUAGCCAUUCAGGGUACGUUGUCAUGAAGACUCAUCUCGCUAAGAAGUGAACCCGCGUUGUAGAACAGGAAACCCCGAAUUUACUCUUGAAGUUACCUUGCUAAGCAGUAAUCCUGCUUCGUAAAAUAGGCCCCAAAUCUCUGUUUUUCUCUGUUUACAUGUCAAACGUGCAAACAGAGUUCCAAAAUCUCCCCUCUGGCUGGAGAUUUUAAAAAGCAUCAUUUUCAGGGGCGAAGUCUCCGUUUGCAUCGAAACAAAGGGUGACAAUGAUGGUUAAUGUCUGGUUAAUAGUGUUUGUCGAGCAUCAUUGGUUGUCAAAAAUGCUCAGUUGGGAAGUCAGAUGAGAAAAAUGAUUUGUGGCCAAAUCUGAAUUUCAAAUCUAAAACCCUUUGUUUUUCUGUCAGUUAUUACGAAUACUGUUUUUUUAAAAAGUAGGUAGCGUCAAGGUGCCAUUUUUCGGCCCAUUAGUUCCCACCUGUCAUUUUCUUAAAGGAAACGCAUUAGUGUAACACAGCUGAGUUGGAGCUGCUGAUCAUACGCUGAUUAUGUGGGGCGGGGCAGUAAAUGACAAAAAAAAAAAAAAAACUGUAGCAACAAAUGGGCACAAAACAGGGUGACUAUAAGUGACUAUCAUGCAAUGCAGAUUGUUAUUUUGAUUACGAUAGUUUUCCCACGAAUAAAAUAAUUUUGAGUAUCUGGUAUGAUAAUUUCAUCUGGCAAAACUGCUCAGACAGUAGAGACGACGAUCGCGGAACAAGCAUGUGUGUAAGCGGAUUGCAAUGCUCGUAAGAAAGCUAAUUAUGUCAUUAUGUCCCAGAAGACACCAGUGUCUCAGAGUUGAACAGCUACGAUGUUACCUGCCACUUCUACUACACCGGUAAUGUUAGGCUCCAAUCUAGCGUGAAGAGAAGUGUGCAGAGCAGCGCUGUCUCCACCCACGACUGAGAGGCGAAUUGCAAAUGAGCUGCUGGAGCUCUACAGAAGAAAAGCCCUUGAAAAUGACACAGGUGACAUGCUUUUGGCAAAAAAAAUCAUAAUCACAAUUUAAAGACCACAGAGAACACUUUAAGCAGUAAAAAAAAGAGUAAUUGGAUUGGGACACACACACAUAUAAUAAUAAUAAUAAUAAUAAUGACUUUAUUUUAUCCCCAAAGGGAAAUUCAAUUGUUUGUGGUUUUACAGUUUUGUUGUAGAUUAAAUUAUGUGUGUGUGUGUGUGUGUGUGUGUGUGUGUGUGUGUGUGUGUGUGUGUGUGUGUGUGUGUGUGUGUGUGUGUGUAAUCCAUAGACUGUUUAUACUAUGGACAACUUGGUUGUAUACAGAUUUGAAGCCAAAAAGCUCUCAGUAUUUCUGGGAUUUUUCUUCAUUUCCUGAAACCAGCAUUGUGCAGUAGCAUUGUGUGCAUUCGGUGGGAAAGUCGUCGAGAGGCACUGUGAUGACAGUUAGCUCAAACAGCGUAUCCCCCCUGGUGAGCUAUGCAAUCCCUGAAUGCCAAUAGGCUGUAGCAGGUGUCAAUCAGAGAAAACAUGAACCCCCUAAUAACUUUUAAAAACGGAGCUUCACAGAAAAAAAAGGACUUGAGCACAAACCAGUCUUACUGUAACUGCAUGUCAACAUCGCAAGCAAUGGGAAGAAAAAUUUAUGUUCUGUGUAGUAAAUUUCUAAAGUUUGUCCACAGCUCCAUAAGCUAUGCUGGCAGAAGCGGGAUUUAUGACCUAUACUGCAGCCCGUCAACAGAGGGUGUUGUUCUCGGAGUGGCUUCACCCAGCAAGGAGGCAGACGCUGUCCAUUCUAUAUACAGUCUAUGGUAUAAUCACAAUCCAGAAUCUAUAUGACAUACCUGCCAACAUUUGGGUUUGUAAAAUCUGUAUAUUUAUAAGUAAUAAGUAUAAGUGAAGCUGCACACUUUUUUGUUUUGUUUUAACAAAAACAAAUGGUAACAAAAAAAAAAAGAAUGGCUACGAUAUGCCUUGAACUUAUUUAGUCCACUAAUAUUGCUGUUAAAGUCCUCAUAUGUUUGAAUGCUCUUCUGUAUGAGGCUCUCUGAACAUCAGUGUGUGCAAUACAGCACUCUUUUAUCUGAGGCUGCCCUGAACGCAUCACUCCCAGAUGGUGCAAGACUCUCAACAUAAAUGUUAUAUCUCACGAUUAUUUACCUUUCAUUGAAGUGUUCAUUUUGCAAAUUACGCUGCUUAAAUAUAGUUUACAGCUUAAACCGACCUGAACUCCUGACUCCUCCUCCUGACUGGUGAACAUGCACAUUGGAUGAUUCCGUUCCUUGCUGUUGAACUGUGUGUGUAGUGUUUUGCUCCUCCUGAUAGCGUUCUUGCUAUUUGGGUUAUUUUCUCUUUUUAAUUUAUCAAUACAUCUGUUUGUUUAAAAGUCUGUGAGUAUAUCUGAUAGUUUUCACCAAGCACUGUCUUUAUCUCCAAAGACGUUUAUCCAGAAAUCUGGCCGAUUUUAUUAGUCCUUAUCACUGACAAUUUAGAGCGGAGACUAGGGAGCAGAGCCACAGUCCUACACGCUCCUCUGCAUUCCCCUCAGAGCAACUGCCUAGCUACAAUCAGUUUGAUAUAGAGACCAGGGAGCAGAGCUACAGUCCUACAUGCUUCUCUGCACUUUUGUUAGAGCAGCCUCCUCGUUAGUAUCACUUUAAUAAAGAGACUGUGUCUGUCCCUCAUCCUCGGCUCUUUAAUUCUAACUGAUCGAUUAACAAAGGAGUAAAAAACAAGAAUCUUACUAGAAUUAAAACUGCUAACAUAGCUGAACUGAGUAGUAAGAUAAAGUGUGGUCUACUGAACAUAAGGUCUCUAAGUUCCAAAUUUGUGUUAAUAAAUGAACUAAUCUCUGAUUACUCUCCCUGACUGAAACUUGGCUGUGUCAGGAUGAAUAUGUCAGUUUAAAUGAAUCCACUCCUCCUAGCCACCUAAGCCUUCACAUUCCUCAGGACUCUGGCCGAGGUGGUGGAGUUGAAGCAAUCUUCGAAUUAACCUUAGACCAAAACUGGAUUAUAACUCUUUUGAAAAUCUUGUCCUGGGGUAGGGCUGUGUUCAAAAAAUCGAUACGGCAGGAUAUCGUCACGAAUUUUUGCUGAUACUUGCAUCAAUACACACUUUAAAAUAAUCAAUAUUUCCACAGAUGCUGGGACUGGCGUUUCAAGACGUUUUUUUAGGUGCAGUACACAUAGCGGCCAGAGUUGGCAGCAGAAGCCGAUCUACACAUUUUCACCAAAAUAGAAGAAGUAUGGAAGAGAAAGUUUACCCACCACCGUCCAAGUUAAAAGCAAAGAUAUGGGCGCAUUUUGGAUUUUUGAGAUCAGCCGGAGGUCAGGAGUUGGACAUGAGC